This is a long non-coding RNA of Peromyscus leucopus (white-footed mouse), 1994 nucleotides long. RefSeq lists it as uncharacterized. NCBI's taxonomy places the organism in Eukaryota, Metazoa, Chordata, Mammalia, Rodentia, Cricetidae. The transcript is spliced from 3 exons. The record is from RefSeq and is a predicted model, not a curated record.
UGAUAUGUGGACAGCAAUAAAGAGAUUAAGAGUCCAAGAGCUGGGACUUGAGCUCUGAUGACCAAUCCCAAGGCCAAAAGCAUAUUGAGCUGACUCGGAAAGGAGGAGAACCUCUCCUGGGACAGGAGUUUGCUCUGCCCACUGAGGACCAUGAAGCAGAAGCAUCAUACAUGGGAAAAGAAGGAGCCCACUUCAUCUUACAAAAGCCAAUAUAUCCCGACUCUUGCUGUCUCCUGUCCUGGAAGCUGGGAUACAGUCAUGAGAUCCAGAGAAGGGAGAGGACAUCAAGAGAUGCUUCAUCCUGGAGACAGAGCCCAGGGAACAGGACAGCAGGAAAGCAAAGCACCAGCUGCUGCAGAAUCAGUUACAUCAAGGCUGACUGGGCAAAGCCAGCUCUCUCAGGAGUUCAUCUUGGUGUGUCACCACUGAAAUCUGGAAAGUGGUCACCUGGUAAGUGAAGCUUCAGCCACAUGAUUCAAGGUCAUGCUCUUAAUAUAGCCGAUAGAAAUAGCAGUCAGGAAAUAAGUAGAGCCAAUCUAACCAAAUCCUGUCUUUUAUUCCUAUGAGUAAGAUUUGUUAAUUUAGCAUAUGUUUUAGGAGGCUUCAUAUCAUUUGUGAGUGAUCUUAAGAAAUGAAGGUAGAGAAGACAAUGUUUAUCUGUGUCCUCAAAGUGCCCAGAUCUUAAAAGAAAAAAAUUAUUUGUCCAUAGUAACCAAUAUUAGACAACAAUGUAAGACAACAGUAGAUUGUAUGCAUAAUGCCUGAUGGGUAAAACAUCUGAGAAAAACAUUAACAGAGGAGAUGAUGCUGGGGCUGAAUCUUAUAUAUGGUGUGGCUGUUAAUCUCAAGUCUCAACUUGAUGAAAGCUAGACUCGCCCGAGACAUGGGCCUCCGGGUGUGCCUGUGUGGAAUUUUCUUUACUAGGUUAAUUGAGGUCGGAAGGUCCACCCACUGUGAGUAGCACCAUUCUCUGGAAUGAGAUCUUAGAUGCUACAGAAUGGAGAAAUGAGGCCAGCAAGAUGGCUCAGUGGACAAAGGCAUGGAAGGAAAUAAUUGGCUUUUGUAAGUUGUCCUCUGACCACUUACAUUCAUGCCAUGGCAUAUAUAACCCCUAAUAGACAUGUUAAAUGUUUUUGAAGAAUAAAGUGAUAUGAGCACAAGGAUUCAUAGCUCUCUUCUCCCUGAGUGCAGAGGCAAUGUGCACAGUGGCUGUGUUGACUUCCUCACCGUGAUUGUACCCUUGAACCUGAAUAAAUCCUUCCCUUCCUUAAGUGCUGUCAUCAGGUUAUUUUAUCAACAACAGAAAAAUUAACUAAGAUAGAUGGGAUUUAAGGGACUAUUCUUCUCUAGUCCUCAGACCCAUCAAUGUUUGUUUUUUCCUUCUUUUUUUCUGUUUUUCUUCUCUCACACAAUACAUUCUGACCACAGUUUCCCCUCCCUCCACUCCUCUCAGCGCUCCCCAUCUACUCCUGUGUUUCCCCUCCCCUCAGAAAAGAACAGGCCUCCAAGGGGUUAAGAGCACUGGCCCAUUAAUGUUUAUAAAUACCCCCAGGUAACAGGUGGUAUUUAUGUGCUGUGGAUGAACUGCCUAAACCCUCGCGUCUGAGUUUCCUUAGUUAACAAACUGUAAUGAUAACAUGUCUGAAAGGAUUUAUGAGAUUCAUGCAACAUAACUCCUGCAGAGUGUUUGGCAUAUGGUAGAAUUUCAGCAAAUCUUAGCUCCUUGUCCAUUUUCCAUUACAUGUAUUGUCUUUAUUAAGGAGUUAAGCAUUAUCUGCUUAGUGAGUCAUGUAUGUGGUGUACUUACAUAAAUGCAGGCAAAGUACUCAAACAUAUGAAAUAAACACAAAUUUUUAGAACUAGUUUUAAGUUAGCAUGAAAAAUAAUGGGUCCCAUUGUGAAAUUUUCAUUUAUAUCUGUCAUUAUUCUUUCUAAUUUGCCCCUUCCUCAGUGUCUGCCCCCAUUGUCUCUAAUACUACCAUUGGUUCACAUCU